UUAUGGCCAUAUCACGUUGGAACAUCAGUUGCCGUACGAUCACCGAAGUUAAGCAACGUCGAGUCAGGUGAGUACAUGGAUGGGUGACCGAUUGGGAAUAUCAGUUGCUAU
Molecule: non-coding RNA, 111 nt
Organism: Acanthosepion pharaonis
Lineage: Eukaryota; Metazoa; Mollusca; Cephalopoda; Sepiida; Sepiidae
Source: the annotation of a GenBank genome assembly